RNAcentral lists this small RNA (7292 nucleotides) under Pan troglodytes (chimpanzee). RNAcentral describes it as "retained intron". The record is from RNAcentral. Lineage: Eukaryota; Metazoa; Chordata; Mammalia; Primates; Hominidae.
UCCCACUGGCCCACCCAGCCAGUCCCAAGGCCUCCUCCAACCUCUGGUUCACAGCGGGGUCUGUCCCCUGCAGCAGGUGGCUCAAGCCUAUUCACCCACCCUUCCUCACUUUCCUCUCGUUCCAACAACCCCCAUUUUUCUAGAUCUUAUUAGCCAGAUCCCUGUUGUCCUAGACCUCUGUUUCUUAACAACCAGUACUUCUUCCUGAGCUCCUGACGGCUUCCUUCAUGCCAUUUUCUCUUGGGGUGUGGCUUGUGGUAGGCUGCAGGAACCUGGUGACACUGUUGCCCCUCGAGUGUAAAUGCCGUCUGUUCUGCAUAUCCAUGCGUGGCUGCUCCUUUACCCAGAGUGCAGGCUCCUUGGAUGGGUUGGGGGGGUGGGAGCCAGCUGGGUCCAGGUGAGAGGGACUGGCCUGAUUCACUCUCUGUCCACAGCUACCGAGUCUAUUGCUUGCUGGGAGACGGGGAGCUGUCAGAGGGCUCCGUAUGGGAGGCCAUGGCCUUCGCCAGCAUCUAUAAGCUGGACAACCUUGUGGCCAUUCUAGACAUCAAUCGCCUGGGCCAGAGUGACCCGGCCCCGCUGCAGCACCAGAUGGACAUCUACCAGAAGCGGUGCGAGGCCUUCGGGUACGUACGAGGCUGUGGCCUGAGUGUGGUCACAGCACGGAGAGUGGUCUGUGAUCACAGCUUUGCAGGUGCAGGUGCAGGAGCUGAAGCUGGGACCUUAAGCACCAUCUAAAGGUCCCUUUCUUUAGCAUUUGACUCACAAUUUCAAACUCUAGGCAUUUGGACUUAAUGGCUCAGGAUAUGUGGGCCAGGCCCAGUUUUAAGUGAGUUUCCUUGUUUUCGUGGUUGUGGCAUGGUGGCUCUCGGAGCUUCCACACACCAUCUCACGUCAGCUCGCUUUGUUCUUGAGGAAGGAGGGUUCUUGAGGGAUGGGGGCUUGCUCGGUAAAGCUAAAGGAUGUAUAGCUGUGGAGAGGUUUGAACCUCAGUUUGGUGGCCACGUCCUGUGCCCAGCCCCGCCCAGCCUGGGGAGGAGGAACAGGCUCCUGGUGAAAUGGGAGAUAGGGUUUCCAGAUGCCCCCCUUCGGCCUUGAUUGGUUACAAAUUCAGGGUCAAAGGGCACAAAGCAGGGAGGUCAAUCUGCAUGGGUGUCAGCCAGAGGGGCUCCACCUCAAAGUCUCCACCGGUGUCGCCAAACACAAGCUGCUCUGCACAGGGGCCCAGCAUUGGCUGAGGAGGCUGUGGAGGGGAGGGAGCAGGGCAGGUGCCGUGCAAGGCUUUGAGACUCAGGUCAGGCCUCCAGGACUGCGUUUUGCAGAUGAACCCAUGCCUGUGACUACACUAAGUAACAGGAUGCUUGGGGUUACCUUGCAGUAGCACAGCAGACGCAGGCCUGUGUUCCCUGAUGACUGACCUCAGAAAGGGAGAGGAGGAAGGGAGGAAAUAAUCUCUGUUGGACAGGCGAGGAACCUGAGCCACAGGGUCCUCACCCCACAGGCCUCCCCAAGGCCACAUCUAUCUGGGGACUCAGAGUACAACCCCCGCAGCACCCCCAGGACCUGUGUCCAUAACCUCGUGACUCAAGCCAGAUUCCUGAAGUCCUGGCUCCACCGCUAACUUGCUUUGUGGCGUGGGUCACGUUACUUACUCCACCUUCAGUGUCUCAGUUGAUUUGUCUGUACAAUGGGGCCAACUCAGCACCCAAGCAUGGCGUGGUGAGGCUUCAGUGGGCUAAUAUGGGUAGUGGUUGGCAUGGCACUCAGUUUGAGAAGUGCUAUUUUUAUUCUUAUUAUGUCAAAAAGAGUCCCCAAAAGGAUAGCUUUUCAAGAGAAAGGGUGCUCUGCCCCAGCUCCUUCCUGUAUAUUUGACUCCAUGGUUCAUUUCAAAAACAUUUCCAGCACCACAUCCAGCAUCUGUGGAGUGAUCAAAUCUGUUCCCCAAAUAAGAAUUGGGCCAAAAAAUUCAUCAAGAAUCUAAUAGCAGACAGAUUCCAAACCCAGUGCGCUGACCCCAGAACAGCUUUCAGUAGGAAAUGAGCAGAUCAGGAAUGAAAGAGACAAUAAAGGAAAUGAGCUCUGGAUUACUUAAGAAGAGGAGGAAAACCUGUUCAGAGGCAAACAAAAGGAAGUAAAAUAAUGUGAAAAAGAAAAGGAUUUAAAAAACCCAAACUGGAAACAGGAAUGUUGCAAGUUUUCUACUACUACAGCUGAGGCCGCAGUUGUGGGGUGGAGCCUGGGCAGACCCCAGCUGCCAAGGCAGACCUUUCCCUGGAAGGCUCCUCGGUGUUGUGGCCCCUGGGAAUUGCCCCUUACUCUCUGCCCCCUGUCCCCAGUUGGCAUGCCAUCAUCGUGGAUGGACACAGCGUGGAGGAGCUGUGCAAGGCCUUUGGCCAGGCCAAGCACCAGCCAACAGCCAUCAUUGCCAAGACCUUCAAGGGCCGAGGGAUCACAGGUCAGUAUGCACAAGCCGCCCUCCCCACCUUCACCCCUGGCCCAGACACUGUGGCUACGUAGCUCUGACCCUCACAUCCAGGGAAACAGCCCUUGCUGCUCACUGAGUGCACCAGGCUCCAGGGAAGGGGAGCGGGAGAUGCUGUGACUCAGUGACCCCUGUGGCUGAGCCAGGAUUUAAACUCAGAUCCGUCUGGCCUCUGCCGGUGGGGGCAUGUACAGGCAGGAGGAGAGGAAGGACUUGGAGGGUCUGUGGGUGAGAGGAAGGUCGUGGAGUGAGGCAGCCCCCGUGCCCCACCCUGGCUGGUGCCUUUCAGAGCUGCAGCUGUGUGUGCUCUGCCAGCUCCGGCCACCUGCUCCAGCUGAAGGGCCAACACAGAGCCAGGCAGGGCCUGGAGAGAACUGUUCCCUCCAGGAGGUGAGUGGGGUACUCCUCAAGCAAUGGCAGAUGCUGAGCAAGGCCUGUGUGGGCCGAGAGCCUUGGGGGGUUUGGAACCUGGGUUCUGCCCCAGGCCGGAGAAUGAGGCAGGCGUAAGUCACUCCCUGGCACCCAGGUGUGGGCUCCAGAUUCCUAGGCCUGGGAUGGCCUCACCCAUUUUAAAGAUGGGAAAAUGAGACCACAAGUGGUCAGGGACUUGCCCGGGGACAGAGGAAGUCUAUGGCACGAGGGGGGCUGAUCCCAGGGCCUGGGUCGGCUUCCCUGCCAAAUGCCUCUGGCUGCCCACCUGCCUGCUCUCAGGGGUUGUGGCUUGUUCUGCCCAUGUAGACUCAGGUAUAUGAGGACGUUCUGAGUGGGGGUUUGGCAGUGCUGGGAGGUGUCUGGGAGGGGGUGGAUGUCGAGGAAAGGGCUCUGGGAUAUUGUCAUGGCUUUGGUGCUGCUGCCUGGCACUGCCCUCUGGUGUUAAAAAUGGGCAGGAUCUGGACCACUUGCAGCUUCUUGGGGGCUCCUGCUAGUCUUUCGGGCUGCUGGGUGCUACCUGGGAGUUCAGUCUGUUCUUGGCUCUGGCCAGACUCUAGUGACUACUGAGGUGACCUCCAGGGAGAGGGAUAUUCAGCCUUCCCGGCCGCACACAACAAGGUGCCAUGGGGUGGGCAUGCCUAGGUGCUUAUAGACUCCUCUGCUGCUCACAGAUGCAUCAGGUGACCCUGGAAGCCCUGUUCUGGGCCUUGGGUUCCCCUUCUGAUGGCCAGGGUCCCUUCCAACCCAGUCGACAAACUGAGUAUUUCUGCAGCAGACACCUCUACCUGUGUGUGACCCUGCAGGCGGGGUUGUGGGGAAGAAGAGAAUGGACACAUUGGUGAAGGGAUGGGGCAGUGGGCCCAGAAACACACACCUGCCCAUGUCUGGCCCCUCCUUUCCCACUCAGCUGUGAGCUCCCGAAGGACCAGGCAGUAGACAGUGAGUGGUGGGCACGUAGGAGUCCAUCCUAUUCACUGCGACCCUCCUUUCCUGGCCCCCGUGCCUGGCUGGGCUCUGCCUGUCUGGGAUGAUGCCAUUCCUCCCUUGCCCUCGGCAGGUGGAGGGCCAGUCUCCUGGAGCAGCCUCCUGGCCCUCUGGGAGCUUCUGUCUUACCCAUUCCUCUGUCCUCCCGUGUUGGGUCUGUAGGGGUAGAAGAUAAGGAGUCUUGGCAUGGGAAGCCCCUCCCCAAAAACAUGGCUGAGCAGAUCAUCCAGGAGAUCUACAGCCAGAUCCAGAGCAAAAAGAAGAUCCUGGCAACCCCUCCACAGGAGGACGCACCCUCAGUGGACAUUGCCAACAUCCGCAUGCCCAGCCUGCCCAGCUACAAAGUUGGGGACAAGAUAGCCACCCGCAAGGCCUACGGGCAGGCACUGGCCAAGCUGGGCCAUGCCAGUGACCGCAUCAUCGCCCUGGAUGGGGACACCAAAAAUUCCACCUUCUCGGAGAUCUUCAAAAAGGAGCACCCGGACCGCUUCAUCGAGUGCUACAUUGCCGAGCAGAACAUGGUGAGCAUUGCGGUGGGCUGUGCCACCCGCAACAGGACGGUGCCCUUCUGCAGCACUUUUGCAGCCUUCUUCACGCGGGCCUUUGACCAGAUUCGCAUGGCUGCCAUCUCCGAGAGCAACAUCAACCUCUGCGGCUCCCACUGCGGCGUUUCCAUCGGGGAAGACGGGCCCUCCCAGAUGGCCCUGGAAGAUCUGGCUAUGUUUCGGUCAGUCCCCACAUCAACUGUCUUUUACCCAAGUGAUGGCGUUGCUACAGAGAAGGCAGUGGAACUAGCCGCCAAUACGAAGGGUAUCUGCUUCAUCCGGACCAGCCGCCCAGAAAAUGCCAUCAUCUAUAACAACAAUGAGGACUUCCAGGUCGGACAAGCCAAGGUGAUCCUGAAGAGCAAGGAUGACCAGGUGACCGUUAUCGGGGCUGGGGUGACCCUGCACGAGGCCUUGGCCGCUGCCGAACUGCUGAAGAAAGGUGAGGAGAAGGGGCCUCCAAAGUCAUCAACUGAGCGGCCACUGCAUGCUAGGUCUUGGGGUUCUUUCUUUUGUUCUUUCUGUUCUUUCUUGAAGAGCUCACAGCUAAAGAGAAAGAAUUUCAUUUCAUUAAAUAAUGAUGGCAAUUAAAGCCACCCUUUGAGCACUUGUUCUGUCUGGCAUGUUGCUAGGUCCUGGGGCUGCAGUGCCCACAAUCCCUACCCUAUGACUCUAAAGUCGAGACCCCCUCAGCAUGGUGGCCAGAUCAGUGGCCUGGAGCCUGCCAGCUGGGCUGGAAUCACUCAGCCAGGCACUAGUUAAGGAAGUAAGUUAUUCACUUAUCACCAUGCCUGUUUUCCUAUCUGUAAAAUGGAGAUACUAGCCCCUUGCCCUCAGGGCUCUCCUGAGGGUUACAUGCAUGUGACUUGGUAUUCUAUUAUUAUUACUGCGAGCUCACAGGGUUGGCUAGUGGUUUGUAGGGGAGACAGGCAUUGGCCUCUCCCGCAAUAGAAUCACACAGCAGAUGUCAUGUUUUAGCACAAAAGAGGGGGCAGGUGUGGCAUCUUCCAGAAAGUGGCUUCAGAGUGGGUAGGAAUUGAUUAGCAGAGAGGAGAGUGAAGGGAGGCCGGAGCAGGGUCAGGCAGGAGCAAGAUGGGGCUGGAGGAGCCAGAGGAGUCCAUCCCCAGGCAGGGGGAGACCCAGGGGGGUGAGCUUUAAGCAGGGCCUGGCAAGCGUGGGUUUGUCCUUCUGAGAAGGUGCCUCUGCUGCUGGGGCCACACGUGGGCCUCUGAUCACUCUGCGGGCUGCAGCUCCCCAACGUCACCACAUCAACCCUCACCUUCCAUCAGGCCAGACACCUGGGGUGUUUUCUCUCACAUUCCCUUUGUAAACUUCAAGGUUGUGGGAGGAUGAGGGAAGGCGCUCAGGGCCUGCAUGCUCCGCUCUGGGUUCUUGGAUACUGCGGGCAACACAGCUGGACCAGAUGCCCCAGUGCAAGGGGUUGGCAAGCAUGAGCUCAGCCAUGGGAACGAGGUGGCAAAUGGUUCUCCCUGGGACAGGGACAGGCCCGCAGGCUGAGCUCUUAGCUACACGCAGCCCUCAGGAUGUCCCACCAGGCCCCGACCAGGGCAGAUAGUGGUGCCCAGCCCUCCCCUCAGCCACGCCGUGUGCUCUCCCUCACAGAAAAGAUCAACAUCCGCGUGCUGGACCCCUUCACCAUCAAGCCCCUGGACAGAAAACUCAUUCUCGACAGCGCUCGUGCCACCAAGGGCAGGAUCCUCACCGUGGAGGACCAUUAUUACGAAGGUAAGGAGGCCUGGGGCAGGCAGGCUGGGCAAGGGACAGGGCCAGAGAGCCGAGCGUUGGACGUGCCUCUUCUAUCUGAGCCCCAGGAGGGCAGCUGUGGCCCAGAACACCCAGAGCUGUCUCUUAGAGCAGCUGGGACGUGGUCUCUUAACAGGCCUCAGGCUUGGCCUGGGGACCCAGCUAACUCACAGCUGCUGAUGAGCUCUGUGGAGCUCCUGCUGCCCAGGAAGCUGGUGAGGAUUCCAGCCUCGCUGCUAAAUGGUGGAUGGUGGCGUCCCUGAGGUAGUGUAGGGUGGAAGCUAUGGUGCAGCUUGGGAAGCAAUGCAGAAUUUCUGGUAUUUGUGAGUCCUUCACACAGCAGGCUCCUUAAGUACACACCAGCCUCUCUAAGUAGGAGGCCCCAGUGGGAGAGAUGGGCUUUGACUCUGGGGUCAAAUGUAGAUAAUCGGACUAUGGACAGUGGCUGGCUGGUCACCAACAAUGGUGUUUGAAACAAACAUUUAGAGGCCAUAUUUGGGCUUAUAAAAAUAGUUCUGGGCCAUGCAUGGUGGCUCACGCCUGCAAUCCCAGCACUUUGGGAGGCUGAGGACGGCGGAUUUCUUGAGCUCAGGAGUUGGGAGACCAGCCUGGGCAACAUGGCGAUACCUGUCUCUUUAAAAUAAAAAAAAAAACCAAUGAGUUAUGUGAUGGGCUCAUGGCUACAGGUGGAGAAAGGCGGUGCAUAUGCAGCCUCCUCCAUCCUUGACUAAGGCUGACAGAGGGCUGGGCCCACCACUGCUCACCCUGAGGCCUCGUCUUCUGACUCCCCUCCUUUCAUUUCUAGGUGGCAUUGGUGAGGCUGUGUCCAGUGCAGUAGUGGGCGAGCCUGGCAUCACUGUCACCCACCUGGCAGUUAACCGGGUACCAAGAAGUGGGAAGCCGGCUGAGCUGCUGAAGAUGUUCGGUAUCGACAAGGAUGCCAUUGCACAAGCUGUGAGAGGCCUCAUCACCAAGGCCUAGGGCGGGUAUGAAGUGUGGGGCGGGGGUCUAUACAUUCCUGAGAUUCUGGGAAAGGUGCUCAAAGAUGUACUGAGAGGAGGGGUAAAUAUAUGUUUUGAGAAAAA